Piliocolobus tephrosceles (Ugandan red Colobus) is the source of this 2275-nucleotide long non-coding RNA. The record is from Ensembl. Lineage: Eukaryota; Metazoa; Chordata; Mammalia; Primates; Cercopithecidae.
UAAAAAAAAGAAACACAAAAAAAAGAAACACAAAAAAAAAAAAAAAAACAUUGCUAAACCAGUUAGAUAGGAAAUGUGAUACUACUAUGAUCAUGACACAACUGGAUGUACAGGGAAAAAGAAAUAAAAAAAAAAAUAAUAUAUGUAUUGAAAAAAGUAAUCAUGUUCUUGUUAAGGAGAAUACACAAAAAAACAUAAAAAACAGUAAUAAUCCUUUUGAAAAUAAACCAAAUAAAAAUGGCAUUCAUUCUGAAACUAGCGAUGGUAUAGGUGAGAGCAUUGACAUUCACGAAUUUAAUAUCGUGCAUAUACAAAAAAUAAAUGAAGAAAAUAAUGACUUCUUUAAAUCUAUGGACGAUCGUAGUUUGGGCAUUAGUGACAAAAGUUGUGUCAGCAGUAUAAAUGGUGACACAAGUAGUAGCCACCGCAGCAGCCACUGCAGCAGCCACUGCAGUAGUAGUAUAAGUGGUAGAAGUGGUAGAAGUAGCAGUGUAAGUGGCAGUAUAAGUGGUAGAAGUAGCAGUAUAAGUGGCAGUAUUAGUGGCAGUAUAAGUGGCAGUAUAAGUGGCAGUAUAAGUGACAAUGCAAGUAAUACCUGUGACAGUAAAUGCAGCAAAAACGGAAAUACUUGUUUUGAUAAACUCGAUCGACUCCAGUUCAAACAGACAAACAAAAAAAUAUUAAAAAUCUUAACAUGUUUUAUCAAUAUAAUAUACAUAAAUACUUUUCAAAAAAUUCUGAACAAAAUACAAACUUGUAAAAGUAUAAGAAAAUUAAAAUUAUAUUUGUAUAUAAAAAAUAUAUUUGAAAGUAAUAUAUUCCAUUGCUUAAGAACUAGAUUAAAAAAAAAAUGUUUCGAUAUGUUUUGUUCGUUUACAUUAAAAAAUUUAAUUCAAAAUUAUUUAUAUAAAAUAAAAAAAGAAAAAAUAAGCAGUAUUGUUUCCGCUGUUGUUUUACCCGAUACAAACAAAAGCUACACUAAUCGUAAUGGUAUUAUUAGUAAUAAUACUAAUAGUACUAGUACUAGUACUAGUGGCAGUAUUAGCACAGAGUUAGAACUCUUCCAGUCAGUACUAAUAUAUGAUACGUGCAGUUUUAUUGAAAUAUAUAAUAAGUUAAAAAAAAUAAAAUUUAAAGACGUGUAUAAACACAAACAUAUUAAUUAUCUAGUGGAUAUAAAAAACAUACUUACGUUACCACAAGAAAAAUUAUUAAAAUAUCCAAUUAAAAAUAAAUAUUUUUUUUUUUACAUCAAAAGUAAAAGGGUAGAUAUAGAUUUUCUUAAAUUUAUUAAACAAUAUGAAUGGAAUGUUCGAAACUCGCGUAGGUAUAAUACAAACGAAAAUGUAUCAGAAAAUAUAGACAAAAGGAAAAAUAAACAAAGACAGUAUGACCUUUUUGUCGAUCAAGUUAUAAAACACAGUUAUGACAUACUUGUUUUCAAAAAUUACAAAGGUUUAUACAAACAAGAUCCGCAACCAAUUAAUAAUAUCAAUAUUGCCCAAACGGAUGUUACUGCAGCUAUUGAUGUUACCACAUCUAUUGAUGUUACUGCUUCUACGAAUGUUACUGCCCCUACAAAUGUUACUACCCCUACGAAUGCUACUACCACCGCUACUACAAAAAAAGCAAACUACCUACAACAAACGUUUUAUAACUUAUUACAUUCAUUUAAUACAAAUGUUAUUAAUUUAUUUAUUGAAAAAAACGAAAAAAAAGAAUAUAAUGCUAUUAGAUUAAUUUACAGUAAUAAAAGUGCUCAUGGUAAGGAGAUAGAUAACAUAGUUAGUUCGAAAAAGUUUGUUGACCCUGUAAUAGAACGUACAAACAAAAAUUGGGGACGUGUCGAUGUGAUAUGUGAUGAUAAAAUUAGCUUAUCAUCCAGUAUAGUUAGCUCAAAUGUGUGCGAAAAAAAUAAUUUAUCCAAAUGUGAACAAAAUAGUUACCUUCUAAACAAUAAAAAUAAAAAAAAAAAAAAAAUAAAAAAAAUAAAAAAAAAAAAACGCAACGAAUAUCAAAAUAUAUAUGAAGUAAGUAGUAUAUCAAGUAGUAACGAAACACAACAAAAUAAAUAUGAACAAGGAAAUGUUAAACUAUUCGAAUUAAGUGAUGACGAAAACCAGUGCUGUAUAAAAGUAUAUAUAAACAGUAGUAGUAGUAGUAGUAGUAAUACCAAUAAUAAUAAUAAUAACAAUUACAAUAAUAACAAUUACAAUAAUAACAAUUAUGAUAAUAACAAUUAUGAUAAUAAAAAUUAUAAUAACAAUUAUAAUAA